This 71-nucleotide small nucleolar RNA is filed under the name Sphenodon punctatus (tuatara). RNAcentral describes it as "Small nucleolar RNA SNORD50 (ENSSPUG00000010684.1)". It matches the Rfam family "Small nucleolar RNA SNORD50". From Rfam's summary of the family: U50 belongs to the C/D class of snoRNA which contain the C (UGAUGA) and D (CUGA) box motifs. The record is from Rfam by way of RNAcentral. Lineage: Eukaryota; Metazoa; Chordata; Lepidosauria; Sphenodontia; Sphenodontidae.
GAUCAGUGAUGAAACUAUCCCGAACCUGAUUCCUUGAUGAAAAAACUUCAUACGGAUCUGGCUUCUGAGGU